ACGUGCGCGCUCUCGAUCCGCAUGGACGAGACGUGUACGGAUGCGAAGUUCGUGCAGCGCACUUCUGGCGAGCGAGCGUCAGCGUCGGUUGUCGAUGGGUGACAAGGACAUGAGGAAGGUGAACUGGUCCUUGUGGCCGGUUGUUAUAGCCUCUUGUUCGUAUAGCCCGACGGCGACCGUGGCUCUGCGACGCGUGCCUGGCUGGUGAUUCUCAUGAUCGGUCCGGCAUGUCGACCGUGGCGGACGGCACGCCUGUGCGCUCAAACUGCUGCCGGUCGAUCGUGAGUUUUUCACACACUACGCGUCUAGGAUGCUGACGGCCAUACGGCUCCAUCCGACCCGUCUUGAAACACGGACCAAGGAGUCUAACAUGUGCGCAAGUCUCCGGGUGAUUGAAACCCGUGGGCACAAUGAAAGUAAAGAUCGUCCUAGACGAUUGAGGUGAGAAGCGAACAUCUCGGUGUUCGCUGCAUCAUCGACCGACCUAUUCUGCUCUCAGAAAGGUUUGAGUAAGAGCGUAUCUGUUGGGACCCGAAAGAUGGUGAACUAUGCCUGAAUAGGGUGAAGCCAGCGGAAACACUGGUGGAAGCUCGUAGCGAUUCUGACGUGCAAAUCGAUCGUCGAAUUUGGGUAUAGCGGCGAAAGACUAAUCGAACCAUC
Molecule: ribosomal RNA, 660 nt
Filed under: Leptogorgia cofrini
Lineage: Eukaryota; Metazoa; Cnidaria; Anthozoa; Malacalcyonacea; Gorgoniidae
Description: eukaryotic LSU rRNA
Rfam family: Eukaryotic large subunit ribosomal RNA
Source: RNAcentral